Molecule: long non-coding RNA, 942 nt
Filed under: Homo sapiens (human)
Lineage: Eukaryota; Metazoa; Chordata; Mammalia; Primates; Hominidae
Description: HSALNT0198161
Source: RNAcentral
AUUACAGGCGUGAGCCACUGCGCCCGGCCCUAAGGAAGUCUAUUUUUAAAGAAAGGACUACUCACUAAAGUCCGACUGUUAAUUUCAUAGCAUAUUGUUUGUCAGAGAGGAACUAGGUAAGAUAGAUAAUGACUUAGCACCAUUCGUGACUUAAAGGAUGAAAAAGCCAAGCUCCUGGCCUUCUAAUGGAGAGAUAAAGACUUUGGGAGCAAAGAUGAGGUUCGGAGAAAGGUUUACUGUCAAGCAAGGAAUCUGAUCUGACCCAGAGAACUUCAGUUCUGGGGAUGAGGCCCUAAGAAUCCGGUCUCCGUCAGGAAAGCAGUCUGUGGGCUCUGGAGCGACCUGGGAUCUGGAGUACAGUUCUGUUGGACAGUGCUGCAAGGAUGGAGAGACUAUUAAGAUCACCUGACUACACCAUUUAAAAAAUUUUUUGAAUGAACUAUCUUUGUUUGUAAGCCCCAAAACAUGGUCUGAAGACUCAUUAGUGACCUGAUCAUACAGCUGACCUCUGAACAACAUGAGUUUGAACUGCGUGCGGGUCACUUAUAGGCAAGUGUUCAACUGCACGGGGCAGGAGCAGUUGGUGCCCAAUCUGCUAAUUGUUCAAAGGUAGAGUGUAGUUUUUAAAGACAAGUGAGGUAAUUUCUUUUAAAUCUCUAGGCUACUACAAUACAGAAUGCUGGGAAAUGAAUUAAUGUUAUGCUUACGUGUGCUUUUCAAAAUUCCCCUUGUGACUAAUGGGAUGUCACUCUGCAAAAACAUUGUUAGUUUCCCAUUGAUUCCACUGGUUUGAGUGUGUUUAAUGCCGAGGAAAGUGAGAGUUCUUUCGGAAGAUGGUAGGUUUUUGUCUUUUUGAGGUGGUUCAUUUACUUUGAGAAUCAUCAUUUUGUAUUUUUAAAACCAAGUCUUAUAUGCAAAAUUAUUGAACUGUGAGAAGAAAAG